AAUCAACGCUGGCGGCGUGCCUCAGACAUGCAAGUCGAACGCGAAAGGUUCCUUCGGGAGCCGAGUAGAGUGGCGCUCGGGUGAGUAACACGUAGGUAAUUUGCCUUUGGGUGGGGAAUAACAAUCGGAAACGGUUGCUAAUACCGCAUAAUGCAGCGGCUCGACAUCGAGACAGUUGUUAAAGCGGGGGAGUCCUUCGGGACCGUCGCGCCUAAAGAGAAGCCUGCGGCGGAUUAGCAGUUGGUGAGGUAAUGGCUCACCAAGGCGACGAUCCGUAACCGGCCUGAGAGGGCGGGACGGUCACACUGACACUUAAAUACGGGUCAGACUCCUACGGGAGGC
Molecule: ribosomal RNA, 342 nt
Filed under: uncultured bacterium
Lineage: Bacteria
Description: partial 16S ribosomal RNA
Rfam family: Bacterial small subunit ribosomal RNA
Source: RNAcentral